AGCUUGUUGGUGAGGUAAAGGCUCACCAAGGCUACGAUCAGUAGCUGGUCUGAGAGGACGGCCAGCCACAAUGGCACUGAAACACGGGCCAUACUCCUACGGGAGGCAGCA
Molecule: ribosomal RNA, 111 nt
Filed under: uncultured Acidobacteriota bacterium
Lineage: Bacteria; Pseudomonadati; Acidobacteriota
Description: uncultured Acidobacteria bacterium partial 16S ribosomal RNA
Rfam family: Bacterial small subunit ribosomal RNA
Source: RNAcentral